RNAcentral lists this ribosomal RNA (464 nucleotides) under uncultured bacterium. Its description in RNAcentral is "bacterial SSU rRNA". It matches the Rfam family "Bacterial small subunit ribosomal RNA", at positions 917 to 1382 of the family's 1533-position model. The record is from RNAcentral.
GGGCCCGCACAAGCGGUGGAGCAUGUGGUUCAAUUCGACGCAACGCGAAGAACCUUACCCAGGCUUGAACAGCGAGUGACCAACUCCGAAAGGGGUCUUCCGCAAGGACACUCGUAGAGGUGCUGCAUGGCUGUCGUCAGCUCGUGUCGUGAGAUGUUGGGUUAAGUCCCGCAACGAGCGCAACCCUUGUUUGCUGUUGCCAUCACGUUAUGGUGGGCACUCUGCAAAGACUGCCGGUGAUAAACCGGAGGAAGGUGGGGAUGACGUCAAGUCAGCAUGGCCUUUAUGUCUGGGGCUACACACGUGCUACAAUGGCCGGUACAAACCGUCGCGAUACCGUAAGGUGGAGCUAAUCGGAGAAAGCCGGUCUCAGUUCGGAUUGUCGGCUGCAACUCGCCGGCAUGAAGUUGGAAUCGCUAGUAAUCGCGGAUCAGCACGCCGCGGUGAAUACGUUCCCGGGCCUU